GAUGAACGCUGGCGGCGUGCCUAAUACAUGCAAGUCGAGCGAACAGACGAGGAGCUUGCUCCUCUGACGUUAGCGGCGGACGGGUGAGUAACACGUGGAUAACCUACCUAUAAGACUGGGAUAACUUCGGGAAACCGGAGCUAAUACCGGAUAAUAUAUUGAACCGCAUGGUUCAAUAGUGAAAGACGGUUUUGCUGUCACUUAUAGAUGGAUCCGCGCCGCAUUAGCUAGUUGGUAAGGUAACGGCUUACCAAGGCAACGAUGCGUAGCCGACCUGAGAGGGUGAUCGGCCACACUGGAACUGAGACACGGUCCAGACUCCUACGGGAGGCAGCAGUAGGGAAUCUUCCGCAAUGGGCGAAAGCCUGACGGAGCAACGCCGCGUGAGUGAUGAAGGUCUUCGGAUCGUAAAACUCUGUUAUUAGGGAAGGACAAAUGUGUAAGUAACUAUGCACGUCUUGACGGUACCUAAUCAGAAAGCCACGGCUAACUACGU
RNAcentral lists this ribosomal RNA (496 nucleotides) under uncultured bacterium. RNAcentral describes it as "partial 16S ribosomal RNA". It matches the Rfam family "Bacterial small subunit ribosomal RNA", at positions 28 to 506 of the family's 1533-position model. The record is from RNAcentral.